UACUUCCCCUUCAAAAGCGUAGCUAAUACAGCUAGGCCUUUGCUUUCUACUUUCUCUAAGGCUUUGUUUUCUACUUUCCCUUUCGCAAAUAAGAAAUAAAAGAUAAAAAGCCCUAGAUCUAUCAACUAAGAAAUAGAAAAACCUUCUUAGAAAGUUGCAAAUUGUAUCGAUGGUGAGGAUGAAUCAAUUGCUCUUGCGGCUUGGCUUCCAUGGUUGAAUUCUUCUCUUAGUCUCUCCUGCCUCCGCAGUGCUCUCUUUGUGUAUCUAGUCAUUAUUGGGUUUGUCAUUUCUAGCACCUUUAAGUUUUCUUUCAGAUUUUCCCUUCAGUCUGUAAUACUGAUCCAUGAGAAACAACUGUUAAGUUCAGAAAUCAACCUAUAUGUUUCAAGACCAUUGGGGGUUAUAACAACUAUGAAAAAAAAAAAAGAGCCAGCUUAGAGUUGAUAUUCAAGGUGCUGAAACAUUGAGGAGGAUACUUAGGAACUCUGCGGUUUUUAUCUUUUUGAUGGCAGAGAGUGAAGCUAAGCUUGUUGAGAGGUUGAUUGACCGGAAGACAUAGACUAAAGAAGCUUUUCUUAUGAGGAUUGCAACAGCUAGAGAGGAAGUGAAGCAUGUUAGAAACUUUGAUUAUGUUAUUGUAAAUGCUGAGAGGAAGUUGGAGAAUGCUGUUAGGUUGGUGGAGUAUAUUAUUUAUGAAAAGAAAGCUAAAGUCCGGCAAAGGAGUGCAGUGAUAUAGUUAUUUGGAAGGUAAUUGGGAAUUUUAAUUUUUUUUUUUUUUUUUGGUUGAGAAUUUGUUUGUUCCAUUUAGAAUUUGUUAGAAUUUCGAUUGGAAUUUUCUUUUUAGGAAAUGUGGGAAUAUUGAUUGUAGUUCUAUCAUUUGGAUAGUAUAACAUAUCUUUUUGAUUUAAAAUUACUACUAACUGAAGACAUUUUUUUUUUUUGGGCUAACACAUCUUUAUCUAUAUACAUAUACACCAGAACCGUUAAUUUCUGUACGAGUAUCAAAUCAUAUAU
Ziziphus jujuba (common jujube) is the source of this 1014-nucleotide long non-coding RNA. RefSeq lists it as uncharacterized. The transcript has 2 exons. Lineage: Eukaryota; Viridiplantae; Streptophyta; Magnoliopsida; Rosales; Rhamnaceae. The record is from RefSeq and is a predicted model, not a curated record.